CCUACGGGAGGCAGCAGUGAGGAAUAUUGGUCAAUGGGCGGGAGCCUGAACCAGCCAAGUCGCGUGAGGGAAGACGGUCCUACGGAUUGUAAACCUCUUUUGCCGGGGAGCAACGGGGUCCUUGCGAGGGCCCGAUGAGAGUACCCGGAGAAAAAGAAUCGGCUAACUCCGUGCCAGCAGCCGCGGUAGUACGGAGGAUGCGAUCGUUAUCCGGAUUUUUUGGGUUAAAGGGGUGCGUAGGCGGGCUGUUAAGUCGGCGGUAAAAUGUCGGGGCUCAACCCCGGCCUGCCGUUGAAACUGGCGGCCUCGAGUGGGGUAGAAGUAUGCGGAAUGCGUGGUGUAGCGGUGAAAUGCAUAGAGAUCACGCAGAACUCCGAUUGCGAAGGCAGCAUACCGGCGCCCGACUGACGCUGAGGCACGAAAGCGUGGGUAUCGAACAGGAUUAGAUACCCGAGUAGUC
Molecule: ribosomal RNA, 460 nt
Filed under: uncultured bacterium
Lineage: Bacteria
Description: partial 16S ribosomal RNA
Rfam family: Bacterial small subunit ribosomal RNA
Source: RNAcentral